AUCACUGUGGCUGAAGGGAUCCUGUGCUCUGAGUGGCCAGGCCUGAGUCACAUGUUCUGCACUGGAUGUGAGCCUGGGGGAAACGCUGCUCCCCGAAAGGAAAUGCAGGCCGGAUGGAUGUUGGACAGAAAAGACAUUAAAACUCCAUUCAGUGAUUUCUAUACAGAAGCUUGCGGAAAAAGGCCAAGGAAGGAGUGAAGCUUUAUAGAGAAUUCGUGCCACUGUGAUCGGUCGGGCUUUGCAUCAGUAAAUUUUGGCUGUGCCUCUGUCUCAAAGCUGGAGUGACAGGGACCCACGAAAUACAAUUUUCCUUCCAGCUAAGGCUGAUGGAAAUCUUCAUGCUGAUAAUAUCGACAGCCCUUCUCCCAAAGCAGGAACCCGGGGAAACUUGGCAAGAAACACUGACUCUGGCUCCAGCUCCCAGCCUUGGCCACAGGAACCACAGUGGAUGACCCGGGCACCUGAUCCUCCUAAUCUGAAGGCAGGGGACAUACAGUCACACAAAACUGCUGUGGCUGGUGCAGCCGAGCCAAACCUGCCUGCCAAGCCUUUUCCGAUGGCACAAACCCCAGUUUUAGAAGACUCCAGGUGGAGAAGGACUUUGGAAAAGGGCACCUGUUUUGGCCUGUGUACAAUAACAACCCAGCCGCAGGAAAAAAUGCAGUUUCUCAUCAUUCUGGGAACGUGGGUUUGAGAGACAAAAUACAAAAUAAAAAUAGUUAACUCUCAUUUAUUGAGAGCCUCCUAGUGAUCUGCAACUUGCAUAGUUGUCCCCAACCCUGGCAGUCACCUUGUGAAUGUUGGUGAAUUACUAUUGUCACCAUUUUACAGAUCAGGAGACUGAGGCUCAGAGAAAUGAAAUAAGUUGUCUCAAUUCACACACAUGUAAGUAGCAAAGUGAAGGGUUUGAAUCCAGGUCUUUCUGGUUCCAGAGCCCGAGGCAUUCCAUUUUCUUUAAAUAAAUUCUUUAUUUGUGGAGAAGCAUCAUUCUCUUUGGGAGGCUGGGGGAGGUCUCAU
Molecule: non-coding RNA, 1017 nt
Organism: Vicugna pacos (alpaca)
Lineage: Eukaryota; Metazoa; Chordata; Mammalia; Artiodactyla; Camelidae
Source: RefSeq, a predicted model, not a curated record